Molecule: long non-coding RNA, 375 nt
Organism: Mastomys coucha (southern multimammate mouse)
Lineage: Eukaryota; Metazoa; Chordata; Mammalia; Rodentia; Muridae
Exons: 2
Source: RefSeq, a predicted model, not a curated record
UAUUUUUAAAUACUUCUUUCCACCUCACAUGGAUGAUUGCUUCUAGCUCAAUUCCAGCAAUUCUAUUUCAUCUACGUAGGAGCCGUCUCCUCCCACGAGCUUCAAAACUAAAGGGUACUAAUAAGGCAUCGUAGACUAACGGCAGUGUGGACCUUCCUUUGCAAACAUCACAAGCCAUAAGAAGAUUUCCAAUGACAUGUUCUUUCAAUGCUAUCGAAAGCGCAAAGGCUUUGAUUUGGAAACGGCCACCUUAUUGGCACUGUUAAGCAAGGAGGGCUAACUGUUUCUAAACAGAAGCAAAUUGAUAUGCACCUGUAUCACAAAUACCAUACACAAGCGCCCUCUCACCCACAUAAAGGAUGCUGCCUAUAUGUA